RNAcentral lists this unclassified non-coding RNA (433 nucleotides) under soil metagenome. RNAcentral describes it as "partial contains 5.8S ribosomal RNA, internal transcribed spacer 2, and large subunit ribosomal RNA". The stretch from base 1 to 120 matches the Rfam family "5.8S ribosomal RNA", at positions 35 to 154 of the family's 154-position model. The record is from RNAcentral.
GAUGAAGAACGUAGCAAAAUGCGAUAAGUAAUGUGAAUUGCAGAAUUCAGUGAAUCAUCGAAUCUUUGAACGCAUAUUGCGCUCUCUGGUAUUCCGGAGAGCAUGCUUGUUUGAGUAUCAGUAAACACCUCAACUCCCUUUUCUUUUUUGAAAUGGGAGCUGGACUUGAGUGAUCCCAACACUUUUCUCACUGGAAAGUGGCGGGUCACUUGAAAUGCAGGUGCAGCUGGACUUUUCUCUGAGCUAUAAGCAUAUCUAUUUAGUCUGCCUAAAAAACAGAUUAUUACCUUUGCUGCAGCUAACAUAAAGGAGAUGAGUUCUUGUGCUGACUGAUGCAGGAUUCACAGAGACAGCUUUGCGGCUGACUUUGUAAACUCGAUCUCAAAUCAAGUAAGACUACCCGCUGAACUUAAGCAUAUCAAUAAGCGGAGGA